RNAcentral lists this ribosomal RNA (243 nucleotides) under uncultured bacterium. RNAcentral describes it as "partial 16S ribosomal RNA". It matches the Rfam family "Bacterial small subunit ribosomal RNA", at positions 91 to 334 of the family's 1533-position model. The record is from RNAcentral.
CUGAGCGGCGGACGGGUGAGUAACGCGUGGGUAACCUGCCUCAUACAGGGGGAUAACAGUUAGAAAUGGCUGCUAAUACCGCAUAAGACCACAGUACUGCAUGGUACAGGGGUAAAAACUCCGGUGGUAUGAGAUGGACCCGCGUCUGAUUAGGUAGUUGGUGGGGUAACGGCCUACCAAGCCGACGAUCAGUAGCCGACCUGAGAGGGUGACCGGCCACAUUGGGACUGAGACACGGCCCAA